UGCAGGACGUGGAAGAACAAGCUCAUAACUGUUUUAAGAUUAAUGAGUGAAGUUUGUGGUUCUGUUUUAAGUGUGAGCCGACAUCACUUGUGUAAGAGACACAUGUGACACCAAUGCUUUUGUGCUUUAGUGCCGACUUCACUUGUGUCUUUUGUAUUUGUGUGUCGACAUCUCUUAAUACAGUCGUGCUCUCUUUUGUGUUUUUAUGUCGACAUCUCUUAAUACACUCGUGACUCUCUUUUGUAAUUUGGUUUGAAUGUAUUUUUUUUUUUAUUCUUCAAGUUAUGUUCUUUAGUUUCUCUA
This is a long non-coding RNA of Arabidopsis lyrata subsp. lyrata, 303 nucleotides long. RefSeq lists it as uncharacterized. The transcript is spliced from 2 exons. NCBI's taxonomy places the organism in Eukaryota, Viridiplantae, Streptophyta, Magnoliopsida, Brassicales, Brassicaceae. The record is from RefSeq and is a predicted model, not a curated record.